This 72-nucleotide transfer RNA is filed under the name Streptomyces hydrogenans. Its description in RNAcentral is "tRNA-Ser". The record is from RNAcentral. Lineage: Bacteria; Bacillati; Actinomycetota; Actinomycetes; Kitasatosporales; Streptomycetaceae. RNAcentral also lists the same sequence under 2 other names.
GCCCGGUGCGCAGGCCGGGGUUACUUCCCACUGCUAAUGGGGUGGUCGCGGGUUCGAAUCCCGCCGAGGGCC